Molecule: non-coding RNA, 29 nt
Filed under: Mus musculus (house mouse)
Lineage: Eukaryota; Metazoa; Chordata; Mammalia; Rodentia; Muridae
Source: RNAcentral
UGUGUUCUAUUGUGUUCAUUUUGUGCUUA